RNAcentral lists this ribosomal RNA (432 nucleotides) under uncultured bacterium. Its description in RNAcentral is "partial 16S ribosomal RNA". It matches the Rfam family "Bacterial small subunit ribosomal RNA", at positions 29 to 506 of the family's 1533-position model. The record is from RNAcentral.
AACGAACGCUGGCGGCAGGCCUAACACAUGCAAGUCGAGCGAGGACUUCGGUUCUAGCGGCGGACGGGUGAGUAACGCGUGGGAAUGUGCCCUUCUCUACGGAAUAGCCCUGGGAAACUGGGAGUAAUACCGUAUACGCCCUAUUGGGGAAAGAUUUAUCGGAGAAGGAUCAGCCCGCGUUGGAUUAGGUAGUUGGUGGGGUAAUGGCCUACCAAGCCGAAGAUCCAUAGCUGGUUUGAGAGGAUGAUCAGCCACACUGGGACUGAGACACGGCCCAGACACCUACGGGAGGCAGCAGUGGGGAAUCUUAGACAAUGCGGGCAAACCUGAUCUAGCCAUGCCGAGUGAGUGAUGAAGGCCUUAGGGUUGUAAAGCUCUUUCAGCUGGGAAGAUAAUGACGGUACCAGCAGAAGAAGCCCCGGCGAACUCCGU